This is a long non-coding RNA of Drosophila subobscura, 712 nucleotides long. RefSeq lists it as uncharacterized. NCBI's taxonomy places the organism in Eukaryota, Metazoa, Arthropoda, Insecta, Diptera, Drosophilidae. The record is from RefSeq and is a predicted model, not a curated record. The transcript is spliced from 4 exons.
GUUCGUUCGUUCGUUCGCGUCAUGUGCUCUAGGCACCGCUCCGCUCCGUUUCGUUUCGUUUUGGUUUCGUCUCCUCCGUCGCAUCUUCAAUCUUCGUGCUAGAAAGAGGAGCCGCCACCGCCACGGCACGCAUCCACUCAAAAGACAGUGAGUGUGCCUAGCAGAGGCAGCAGCGAGGACAUGGACAUGGGAGCAGCAGCCACAGUCGCAUAGUCAAGCGCAGCAGCCACAGUCGCCAGAAAUUGCAAGGGCUCCGCCUUCGAGAGGUCCGCCGCCCGAGAGUCCGAUAAACCCAUCUGUGACCUAAGGCCAGGGUCCAAGACCAGAACAAACCAGACCAGACCAGCAGCUCAGCUGGUUCUAAACUCAAGCAAACUAAACGAAACGAGACGAAACGAACAGCAAUGCAACGGAAGUGCAAUCAUUAGCAUGAUUGAUUGUUUUUUUUCACCCGCAAAAUAAGCCUAACCCCACAAAAAUUAUCAAUUAGCCGCAGCCGGUGACUGGACACAUGCUUGGAUCUCCGGACUAACGAUCAACUGAAACACCGUGACGCAAAACCAACAACAGACUCAUUUACUGCUAGCCCAUUGGUUGGGCCCCACACCAAACUGGCCCAUCAAUUUUGGUUCUCCUACCCGCCACCGGGCGCUGGCGGCGGUUCCUCAAACAUUAGCAGAUGAUUACCCCAUUUCGUUUUGGCAUUACUUAG